GACGAACGCUGGCGGCGUGCUUAACACAUGCAAGUCGAACGGAAAGGCCCUGCUUUUGUGGGGUGCUCGAGUGGCGAACGGGUGAGUAACACGUGAGUAACCUGCCCUUGACUUUGGGAUAACUUCAGGAAACUGGGGCUAAUACCGGAUAGGAGCUCCUGCUGCAUGGUGGGGGUUGGAAAGUUUCGGCGGUUGGGGAUGGACUCGCGGCUUAUCAGCUUGUUGGUGGGGUAGUGGCUUACCAAGGCUUUGACGGGUAGCCGGCCUGAGAGGGUGACCGGCCAAAUUGGGACUGAGAUACGGACCAGACUCCUACGGGAGGCAGCAGUGGGGAAUAUUGCACAAUGGGCGGAAGCAUGAUGCAGAAACGCCGCGUGCGGGAUGACGGCCUUCGGGUUGUAAACCGCUUUCGCCUGUGACGAAGCGUGAGUGACGGUAAUGGGUAAAGAAGCACCGGCUAACUACGUG
This 468-nucleotide ribosomal RNA is filed under the name uncultured bacterium. Its description in RNAcentral is "partial 16S ribosomal RNA". It matches the Rfam family "Bacterial small subunit ribosomal RNA", at positions 28 to 507 of the family's 1533-position model. The record is from RNAcentral.